Molecule: ribosomal RNA, 372 nt
Filed under: uncultured bacterium
Lineage: Bacteria
Description: partial 16S ribosomal RNA
Rfam family: Bacterial small subunit ribosomal RNA
Source: RNAcentral
UGGGGAAUUUUGGACAAUGGGGGCAACCCUGAUCCAGCAAUGCCGCGUGAGUGAAGAAGGCCUUCGGGUUGUAAAGCUCUUUUGUCUGGAAAGAAAUCGCCCGGGCUAAUACCCCUGGGUGGAUGACGGUCCGGAAGAAUAAGCACCGGCUAACUACGUGCCAGCAGCCGCGGUAAUACGUAGGGUGCAAGCGUUAAUCGGAAUUACUGGGCGUAAAGCGUGCGCAGGCGGUUUUUCAAGACCGAUGUGAAAGCCCCGGGCUUACCUGGGAAUGGCAUUGGUGACUGAGAGGCUAGAGUGUGGUCAGAGGGGGGUAGAAUUCCACGUGUAGCAGUGAAAUGCGUAGAGAUGUGGAGGAAUACCGAUGGCGAA